Molecule: ribosomal RNA, 253 nt
Filed under: uncultured bacterium
Lineage: Bacteria
Description: partial 16S ribosomal RNA
Rfam family: Bacterial small subunit ribosomal RNA
Source: RNAcentral
UACGGAGGGUGCAAGCGUUAUCCGGAAUCACUGGGUUUAAAGGGUGCGUAGGCGGUUUGAUAAGUCAGAGGUGAAAGCUAGCAGCUUAACUGUUAAAUUGCCUUUGAUACUGUCAGACUUGAAUCAAGUUGGGGUAGGCGGAAUGUGACAUGUAGCGGUGAAAUGCAUAGAUAUGUCAUAGAACACCAAUUGCGUAGGCAGCUUGCUGGGCUUGAAUUGACGAUGAGGCACGAAAGCGUGGGGAUCAAACAGG